This 301-nucleotide ribosomal RNA is filed under the name uncultured bacterium. RNAcentral describes it as "partial 16S ribosomal RNA". It matches the Rfam family "Bacterial small subunit ribosomal RNA", at positions 509 to 808 of the family's 1533-position model. The record is from RNAcentral.
CAGUCGCCGCGGGAAUACGUAGGUGGCGAGCGUUGUCCGGAAUUAUUGGGCGUAAAGGGAGCGCAGGCGGACAUAUAAGUCCAUCUUAAAAGUGCGGGGCUCAACCCCGUGAGGGGAUGGAAACUGUAUGCCUUGAGUGCAGGAGAGGAAAGCGGAAUUCCCAGUGUAGCGGUGAAAUGCGUAGAUAUUGGGAGGAACACCAGUGGCGAAGGCGGCUUUCUGGACUGUAACUGACGCUGAGGCUCGAAAGCCAGGGGAGCGAACGGGAUUAGAUACCCCUGUAGUCCCUGUCUCUUAUACC